Molecule: long non-coding RNA, 3736 nt
Filed under: Lepisosteus oculatus (spotted gar)
Lineage: Eukaryota; Metazoa; Chordata; Actinopteri; Semionotiformes; Lepisosteidae
Description: lncRNA (ENSLOCG00000021091.1)
Source: RNAcentral
AUGCUGUUUAUUUCCACGCCGGAUGUCCGACAUCAAGCCCCGGAACUUUCAAACGAUUCUAAGCGCCGCUCCGGCUUCUGCGUGCGAGUUGUUCGACGGGGGACAAAAGCGACGAGGACUGUAUUGUACCGAUAUAAAACACCUAGUCGGCUUUCUAUUUCCGAUCUCUUUCGGGCCCAGAAUGCAGAACUAAGUGCUCAGUCUCACUGGCGCCGCUGCUGUUCCGCUUUCUUCUCUUGUGCGCCGAUUCCCAGCGGAGUUCUCAUACUGGUGAGCACUUAAAACACCGACAUAAGCACUAAGAGGCUGCCGGGAAGCACCAGCUCCCUCGAAUACAGUUCAAUUAUAACGCGAGCUUGACGGCAGCAGCUCUCUCACCCUGCAAGUCAGACCGGGCAGCCCACUGGAGCUCAGCAGGUGUGAGCCUGGUCAGUACCUGGAUGGGAGACUCCUGGGAAAACUGAGGUUGCUGCUGGAAGAGGUGUUAGUGGGGCCAGCAGGGGGCGCUCACCCUGCAGUCUAUGUGGGUCCUAAUGCCUCAGUAUAGUGACGGGGACACUAUACUAUAAACAAGCGCCGUCCUUUUGGUGAGAUGUAAAACCAAGGUCCUGACUCUCUGUGGUCAUUAAAACUCCUAGGGCGUUUCUCGAAAAGAGCAGGGGUGUAACCCCGGUGUCCUGGUCCCAAGCGCUAUAGAAGUGUAAGGAAUUAUUAUUAUUAUUAUUAUUAUUAUUAUUAUUAUUAUUAUUAUUAUUAUUAUUAUUAAUCACGGAGGCCCGUCUCCUGACCGGACGCUCUUCGUGGCGGGCGCGCGGGGAGCGAGCACUGAUCGUCCUUCCUCCCGACCUCCGCCCGACAUCCCGCCAAAUAAAUACCUGACAAAACCCCAGUCUGCCGGCUGCGUGCGGCUCGCGUGUUCUGGUAUUCACAGUAAAUAACACAGUAACCUGUUGGCUCACUUGUUUAUUGUUCCACGGAAGCAGAGCGUCCACACGAGUCAGCGCUCUCUAUACACGUGACCCGAGCGGCCGGUCCAUUGCGGGGUUUAUUACAGGCGAUUAUGUUUAUCGCCUCGCGUUACACAUUAGCUUGUAUCCUUUUACGACUUUCUGUGGGGAACCGAGAUCGUGUGUGUGUGUGUGCGGGGGUACAGCUUCAGAACCUGUUUUGCAUGAAGAUGAAUCGACGCCACACGGAACUCUGAAUGUCCUCGGUUUUUUAUCAUAAUAAUUGCACUUGUAUAGCGCUUCUCUACAGUAAUGGGUAACCAGUGAUGCGCCCGCAGCCCGUCUCCAGCUGUACAGUUGGUACUGUGGCGCUGCACCGCUGCGACCCGGUUCGAGGGUUCCAGAGCGAACUCGGGGCUUUUUUCUGCUUGUGACCGUUUCUGGUAUCUUUAUCACUUGAAGGGGUUCCAGACAUUUAAAAAGCACACGGUGUUCUGACUCGCAAUCCUCCUGGCUCGGAGCCGCGAUCUAACAUAACAUCACUUUAUUGGGCCCUAUACAAUUUCUUGUAUUAGGAAGCCUACCCCAGCUUGCUCUCCAUGAGACACACAGCCGGAGAGAAGCUGGGGGUCAGAGCGCAGGGUCAGCCAUUUAUACAGCACCCCUGGAGCAGCUGGGGUUCAGGGCCUUGCUCAGGCCCACCGGAGUAGGAUUCCUCUGCCGGCUUCGGGAUUUGAACCGGUAACUUUCCAGCCACAGGUGCAGAUCCUGAGCCACAGAGCCACCGCUCCGCCCUUGUGCAGGAGACGGAAAUCAGAUCAGUAGAAAGGGGUCGACGGGACAGUACACCGUGUCAACAAAGCAGAGCCGCGCCCUUUCCUGAAACAACCCGAAACGCGGUACCCGCUGAUUUUCAGGAGCGGUGGGGCCGGGGGCAGCGGAAGACUGCAGAAUGUGCAGCAGGUUGCUGGGGGGGGGGGGGGGGUUCUGCAGAAGUGGAGUAGCAACAGUCUCUCUCCUCCUUUCCCCCUGUGUGUUUUAAAACCUUUUCACGUUCCGCCGUCACAUUACCUGCCCGGUUACCACGAGAGAGGGCGGGGCCAGGGACAGCCAGCCAGCCAAUCAGCGCACCGCUCCCCAAAUACAAACCGUGAUGGCCGUGGUCUUGUUUCCGCUGGUGGUCUUUCUUUGAUGGCUUUUGUCUUCAUGUAAUUAGUCGACUAAUGCAAAGAAUGGGCUCUUGUGUGGAGUAACUACACGAUGUUCCCUUUGAUUGUUCUAAAACGCCGCCUAAUAUUUAGAUACAUGUUCCUCAAGUGAGGUUAUGUUCCUAUAAACACCAACAGGAAUUGUAUAGUUUGUUGAAAUUAGAAACGCACUGGUGUGUCCUUAUUAACAUUAGCCCGUGAGGUUAAACAACUGUGUGUGGUCAUGCAUUUAUUUUUUGCACGAAAUUAACGAUGUUGUUUUCCCCGUUUUGAGUCAUUUCCACUUUCUAGACUAGAUCCAAACUGCUCCAGCUGAAUGAACACCGGGCACACGAAGUUGAGAAGCGUCCGAAGGGGCGAGCUGCCCCCUGCCGCCUGCGCGCAGACUGCGGAGCGAGCGAGCGAGCGAGCUCGGGGCCCGUGGCCAUCCUCGUGAGGGAAUCCGCGAGCCCAGCCCGCGCCUCAUCCUCCAGCAUCCGCGUGCAGCAAAACAGCAGCCUCGCUCUUGCCUCCAAAUUAUAUAAACAACGACUUGCCCAGCACAAAGUAUUUGAUUGGAAACUGAGGUAAGAACGAAUAAUGAAACAGAAAUCACAAAAAACACGACAGAAUCAAUGUUUCCUGGCUUUCAGUGCCAAUCUUGGGUGGGAAAAAAACCCCAAGAACAACAGGGACAUCGUUGUGAAUAAAAAGUAAACAUCUUCAACCUUUCCGACACAGCCCCUAGACUGCUGGUGAUCUCAAUAGAGAUACAAGUGCUUCUUUUUGCAUCUGUGUUUUUGCAUAACACAGAGACUCUUGAGGGGGUUGGAAUAUUUAUAACAAAAUAAUUGCUGCAAUGUUUGCAUCGAGCAGGAAUCCGCCUUGAAUUGUCGCAGCGCGAAGCACGGUUUCUGACGAAAGAGUUUGCCUUCUGCGGGUCUUUAGUGCGUAAGGGGCAAUGGCGAAGUUCUGGGCGCUCAGUAGUUAUUGCCAGUCGGCCGGGCAGAAGACGCUCCAAGUCCCUGCUGUCUUGGAGCGGCGCCCCUCCGCAAAGAUUCCACACACGUGAAACUCGAGUCCGGAGAGCCACGCGGCAGUUUCUCCCCCCUGCUCGUGGCGCGCGGGGCUGCCAGGUGGCGGCGAGACUCAGCUGUGGAUCAGGGCGCGUGCUUUAUUAGCCCGAAGGCGCCUUCUCCGAAACUGACCUUCACCCGGCGUGGAGUUUCAAUGGGCCGGAGGACGGAAGAGUAAUUGGAAUAUUUAUGUUACGAGAAGUUCCUGCAAGGUCGGACGUGCAUUCUCUUUAAUUCUGCACUUGCACCCACUCCAGUCCCAGAAACAGGGUUUAAAUCCCCCCAGUGGGUUGUGUAGAUUGUAUUAUGUAUUUGCCUUGUAAUUUGCACUAUCUGCACUUGGCACUAUGUGUGUCCUGUCUACAGUGUCUAUGUCAGUGUCCUGUCUGUCCUGCCUGUAUUUGCAGCGUGGACGAGGAGGAGCGAUAUUUCCUUCCACUGUAUACUUGUAUGUGGCUGGAAUGACAAAUAAACGUGAACUUGAACCUGUGUGGGCAUUCUGUUUUAAUGAUCACGAGCAGGGCGC